AGGACGAACGCUGGCGGCGUGCUUAACACAUGCAAGUCGAGCGGAAAGGCCCUUCGGGGUACUCGAGCGGCGAACGGGUGAGUAACACGUGAGCAACCUGCCCUUAGCUUCGGGAUAGCUCCGGGAAACCGGAAUUAAUACCGAAUAUGACUUUGGCCGACAUCUGCUGUGGUGGAAAGGAUUCCGGCUAAGGAUGAGCUCGCGGCCUAUCAGCUAGUUGGUGAGGUAACGGCUCACCAAGGCGACGACGGGUA
This 254-nucleotide ribosomal RNA is filed under the name uncultured bacterium. Its description in RNAcentral is "partial small subunit ribosomal RNA". It matches the Rfam family "Bacterial small subunit ribosomal RNA", at positions 26 to 285 of the family's 1533-position model. The record is from RNAcentral.